GAUACGGAUGUGGACACUCCUUGUUGCUUUCUAAUCUUGUCAGAGAUUAACCAUCCAUUUUUCAUACCUGUCAACACAUAGGUGACCAUUUACACCCUAGAAACAGUGUCAUAUACAAAGCCUGUCGAACAGUUAUACUCCAUUCCUUGUUGAGAACAAGAAGUUGGGACUUCCAGUGGGAAUACAAAGAUGGAGAAAGUUGAGAAGCAGGGCGAGUUCAUCUACCGCUAAUGUACUGUCGCCACGUCAUGCCGAAGACACCAGACACGACACCCCAUCCAGUCAUAUUAUACUGACACCAGUCCUGUUUCCUUGCUCC
Long non-coding RNA from Liolophura sinensis, 319 nucleotides. RefSeq lists it as uncharacterized. Lineage: Eukaryota; Metazoa; Mollusca; Polyplacophora; Chitonida; Chitonidae. The transcript has 3 exons. The record is from RefSeq and is a predicted model, not a curated record.